GGCUUUAUGGUCGAGUGGUAAAAAUACUUGCCUCUCCUACUGGAGUCCUAGGUUCAAUCCCUGGUCGAGAAGCUA
Rhamnusium bicolor is the source of this 75-nucleotide non-coding RNA. The record is from the annotation of a GenBank genome assembly. Lineage: Eukaryota; Metazoa; Arthropoda; Insecta; Coleoptera; Cerambycidae.